Molecule: long non-coding RNA, 634 nt
Filed under: Fragaria vesca (wild strawberry)
Lineage: Eukaryota; Viridiplantae; Streptophyta; Magnoliopsida; Rosales; Rosaceae
Description: long non-coding RNA (FVES_LNC004914)
Source: RNAcentral
AACAGUACAGUUUGUGCUUAUGAAAGAUGAUGAUUAGAUGUAACAAUAGAAGUUCACUUGAUCAAUUCCUUUUCAACUUUGGUUUUUUCAAACAAUAUUCAUUUCAAAUAUGAAGGAAGAUGACAAUUAAAAUAUAAUCAUCAAUUAUGUUAAUGAUGAUGAAAUAAGCAGAAUAAGGAAGAAAAUAUAGUUUUACAACUACCUUUCAAGAGAUUGAGAGAGUAAGAAAUAGAGGUGAGGUGACACGACCCACCCCGAAUUUCACCCUGAAACCCAGAAUAAGUCGUGCGGGGACCACCUCCAAGGAAAAUUUACUGAAAAGAUUAAGAAAAUCUCCCUUGUAGAUGGACAACCCUAACUCGAAAAUUUCAUAUUACACUUCUGAACAUCACAUAAUAUACAAAAAUUCUAAAGUAUUCAGAGCUACUAAACAUAAGCGGAAGCAAGAAAAUACGAGUAGGUUGAACAGGUAACCUACUGGCGAAAACUGGCCGAAAAGCGGGUGACUAUGCCUCGUCUCCUACUAGAUCCAACCCGAACUCUGCAGACUGGGCAAUUUAAAACGAAGGGCCCAGGGGAAAACAUUUAAUAACGUUAGAGUGAGUGGACAAAAAUAAAUUAAUAAUUAAAAUAU